UACGGAGGGGGCUAGCGUUGUUCGGAAUGACUGGGCGUAAAGGGCGCGUAGGCGGCCAUCUAAGUCAGACGUGAAAUCCCCCGGCUUAACCUGGGAACUGCGUCUGAUACUGGACGGCUGGAGUUUGGGAGAGGGAUGUAGAAUUCCAGGUGUAGCGGUGAAAUGCGUAGAUAUCAUCAGGAACACCGGAGGCGAAGGCGGCUCACUGGGGGUUAUCUGACGCUGAGGAACGAAAGCCAGGGGAGCGAACGGG
RNAcentral lists this ribosomal RNA (253 nucleotides) under uncultured bacterium. RNAcentral describes it as "partial 16S ribosomal RNA". It matches the Rfam family "Bacterial small subunit ribosomal RNA", at positions 524 to 776 of the family's 1533-position model. The record is from RNAcentral.